This 1523-nucleotide long non-coding RNA is filed under the name Oryzias sinensis (Chinese medaka). RNAcentral describes it as "lncRNA (ENSOSIG00000017603.1)". Lineage: Eukaryota; Metazoa; Chordata; Actinopteri; Beloniformes; Adrianichthyidae. The record is from RNAcentral.
AUGUCGGGAUCCCCUCCUCCACCAGCCUCGGCCCCGUCCUGCAGCUCCUUCUGCCGCGGGGAGCCUCCGUCGGCUCCCGCGUCCUUGUUUUCAUGCUGCUUCUCGCCCGGUACCGACUCGUCCUGCGCGUCCCGGUCCGGCUUUUUGAGUUCGGAAGGCGGGCUGGUGUUGAGAGUGGCGACCUGCGCGGCCAUGAUUCCCGGUGUGUCGGUCCUCCUCCGGUGUGUCAGCGCGGCGCCUCACUCGCAGACGAACUCCGGACAACCAUGGAAAAUAAAUACGAUUAUUUCAGCAACGACGUCCCCGCCGUCCCGGUUCAUCCCCCCGCUGCCCUCCUCCCGGACCGAUCUCCGCAUCCAGUCUGGGAAUGAGGCCACAUUAUCACCACGGCAACCCAGAAUUGUGGCGUGGAAUCUGCUAACAAGAGUGCAGUUGAAUUCAGGCACGCAUGCACGGUGCACACCCACGUGCACAGCAGCCAAACACCAGCCGUCGUGGACAAAAAGAAAAAUUUAUGACCCUGAAGAGUGGCUGAGUUGCUCUGAGCGCGAGGGUCUGUCCCACGCCGGAGCCACACGCAAACGCCCAGAUCGCUGCUGGACGCUGUCCAGACGGUUGCCAGGCAGCCCAGCAUACGGUCCAGUGAGAGAACAGGAAGGAAGUGGGCCUUCCUAAAGUCCAAGUCAUUCCCAGACACAACCUGCUGAUCGACCUCCCUCCCCCGUGAACAGGUACGUCCCUGAGGGGCCCGACACUUUCACCUUUCUGCUUCAAAACAGCCAGAAUGACGGUCAAGACUUCAGCCGGACGGCGAUGAAAGCUUCUCUGGGGAUCAGAACGAAGAACCCGGUUUUAGCCAACAGCAUUGUGCUUUUACAGGCCAAACUGCUGGUCUGCUCGUGUCUCCCCCCCCUGCAGUGACCCCUGAACUCUGAUACGACCCGUUAGAACUCACUGACGGGACACCACACCGAAAAACUGGAAUAGGAUCAAGUAUGGACUCACUUUGAUGCAGUUUUCUCUGACAUGAAAUGACUUCUUUUUGGAAAUAUCCACGGUAAAAUGAAUUUUUUCGUUCUUUUAGUAAAUGCAUUUAGUGAAGUCGUUUUAUCUUGAGGUGUUUUUAUUCUCCAAUUGCUUUUUGAAUGACAGCAGAGAUGAUUCAUCGUGUUUCUUUGCAUUUUCUGUAAUCCUUUAUUCAGUAAACUACAGAUGAAUGACGGACUGUAAAACAAAGAAAUGAAUGAAGCCUCAUGAGCUUCAGAGGGCUGGGAGUUGAAAGCAGCCAACAACAGAUGAAAAGAAACGCCAUCAUCCCAGUGCUUUGAGCAUUCUGGGAAAAACUUAAAAACUCCCCUCCAUUUACCUGCACCUGCAUCUUUCCUGCAGGGUGGGGUCAAAAAAUUGCAGGAAAAAUAGACGUGUUCAGCUCCACACGAACUGCCUCAUAUGGCGGCGUCCGAAUGUCACGUGUGACUUACUCUGCUCGUUUUCCAGAGCAUGCUGGGAGGGGUCUAAAGGGG